This 301-nucleotide ribosomal RNA is filed under the name uncultured bacterium. RNAcentral's name for it is "partial 16S ribosomal RNA". It matches the Rfam family "Bacterial small subunit ribosomal RNA", at positions 509 to 807 of the family's 1533-position model. The record is from RNAcentral.
CAGCAGCCACGGGAAUACGGAGGGGGCUAGCGUUGUUCGGAAUUACUGGGCGUAAAGCGCACGUAGGCGGUUUUGUAAGUCAGAGGUGAAAGCCCGGAGCUCAACUCCGGAACUGCCUUUGAGACUGCAUCACUUGAACGUCGGAGAGGUGAGUGGAAUUCCGAGUGUAGAGGUGAAAUUCGUAGAUAUUCGGAAGAACACCAGUGGCGAAGGCGGCUCACUGGACGACUGUUGACGCUGAGGUGCGAAAGCGUGGGGAGCAAACAGGAUUAGAUACCCCCGUAGUCCCUGUCUCUUAUAC